CCUACGGGUGGCAGCAGUGAGGAAUAUUGGUCAAUGGCCGUAAGGCUGAACCAGCCAAGUCGCGUGAAGGAAGAAGGAUCUAUGGUUUGUAAACUUCUUUUAUAGGGGAAUAAAGGUAUCCACGUGUGGAUAUUUGCAUGUACUCUAUGAAUAAGCAUCGGCUAACUCCGUGCCAGCAGCCGCGGUAAUACGGAGGAUGCGAGCGUUAUCCGGAUUUAUUGGGUUUAAAGGGUGCGUAGGUUGGUUUGUAAGUCAGCGGUGAAAGUUUGGGGCUCAACCACAGAAUUGCCGUUGAAACUGGAAGACUUGAGUGGGUGAGAGGUAGGCGGAAUGCGUGGUGUAGCGGUGAAAUGCAUAGAUAUCGCGCAGAACUCCGAUUGCGAAGGCAGCAUACCGGG
RNAcentral lists this ribosomal RNA (398 nucleotides) under uncultured bacterium. RNAcentral's name for it is "partial 16S ribosomal RNA". It matches the Rfam family "Bacterial small subunit ribosomal RNA", at positions 338 to 733 of the family's 1533-position model. The record is from RNAcentral.